AGUGUGUGGUGGUACACCACUGUAAUCCCGGGCUGAGGCAGGAGGAUCACAAGUUUGAGGCCAGCCUCAGCAAUUUGGCGAGGCCUUAAGCAACUAGGUGAGACCCUGUCUCAAAAUAAAAAUAGAAAGGGCUGGGGGUGUGACUCAGUGGUUAAGUGCCCCAGGGUUCAAUUUCCAGUUAAAAAAAAGAAAAGAAGAAGAAAAAAUACACUGGAGGGUGAGAAAUUUCUAGCUUGUAAUUCUUGGACCAAGGAUUAGUGGGCAAAGGCAGAAUUGUGAAAAUGGUAAACACUGAAUAUCUUUCUUUCCUCCCUCCUUCUUUCCAUCCAAAAACAACUAUUUCCCCAUAUUCUUGUCCCAUGUGCUGUAGAAUUCUAACAAAGUGUAAAUUCUGGUUUUGUUGUUUGUUUACUGGAGCUUGAAUCCAAGAGCACUUUACCACUGAGCUACAUCCCCAGACCUUUUGAUUUUUAUGACAGUCUCACCAAGUUGCCCAGGCUGGCCUCAAACUUGCAAUACUCCUGACUCAGCCUCCCAAGUCACUGGUGUGUACCACCAUGCCUGACAAGGAACAAACUCUGAAUGAAAGAAAAUAGUAACUCUGCCUGAGUCAUUCACAUUGCAUUUCUAUACCUAGAACUGUGCUUAGCCCACAGUAGUACUUGGAAAAUGCUUGUUGAAUGACUUGAUGAAUAAAAUUAAAACAGGGCAUAGUGCAGGUAGAUUCAUUUUUAAGACUGUGGAAAACUGAGGUACACCAUUCUGAAGUGGUAGGGGUACUGUGGAACUCCCGCCAUUAAACAAAGCUGCCAGUAAGGGUGAAAGCCAUUCAUGUAAGUCACAUCUUAAUGGCAGGAUAUUGAAGGUAGCAGUGUAUUCAGUUUUCAAAAGAAAAGACCAUAGUGACAAGCAAAGACAAUGGGUCCUCUUGGGGGCCCUAUAAAUCCUGCCAGGGCUUGGGGUGUAGCUCAGUGUAAGCAUGUGCAAGGCUGCCUGAGUUCCCCUUGAGUUCUCACGGGAUUCAGACAGUAUAUUUUGGAGAUAGAAGCCCAGUGGAAGUGAAUUUGGGAGAGAAGGUGGAUUUGGGAAGAGAACGUGGAUUUCCCCAGAACGUGAUUGUAGACGGCUGGUGUGAGUUCGGGAAUAAAGAGUUGC
This 1155-nucleotide long non-coding RNA is filed under the name Marmota monax (woodchuck). The record is from RNAcentral. Lineage: Eukaryota; Metazoa; Chordata; Mammalia; Rodentia; Sciuridae.